AUCUGUUUAUGCUUUGCAACUGAUUCAAGUUCUGAGCAUAAAAAAUGAGACUUGGUAGAGAAAUUGUGAUCCCCAGAAGACUAUUAGAAAGAAGGUUCCCUUUAGUUUCUUUUUUUCUUCUUCUUUUAAUAAUAAUGUCAAUUUAGUUCUUGUGAUAUAUUUUAUUGGUCAGGACUGAAGUAUACCGAUACCGUAUUACCAUGGAAAUGAAUGAAGAUUAUUAUUCACCUUGCCGACAUGAUAACAGUAAUGUCUAUUUCGUCGGCCUGCUGUUCUUUGCCAAUUUACGUUGACUCGCUGUCAUUUUAUAUGUAUAUGGUUACAAUUAUCUACGCUCUCAAUGUGCCUAUGAUGUAGCACCUGGCGGACUGUUAGCUAGUGUGUAUCAUCUUACGAGAAUAGAGUAUGGUGUUACGAGAAUAGAAUAUGGUGCAUACCAACCGGAAGAGGUCUGCAUAAAAGUAUUUGCCUCAA
This is a long non-coding RNA of Ipomoea nil (Japanese morning glory), 474 nucleotides long. RefSeq lists it as uncharacterized. The transcript is spliced from 2 exons. Lineage: Eukaryota; Viridiplantae; Streptophyta; Magnoliopsida; Solanales; Convolvulaceae. The record is from RefSeq and is a predicted model, not a curated record.